RNAcentral lists this unclassified non-coding RNA (521 nucleotides) under Hevea brasiliensis (rubber tree). The record is from RNAcentral. Lineage: Eukaryota; Viridiplantae; Streptophyta; Magnoliopsida; Malpighiales; Euphorbiaceae.
CCAGGGGCUAUCCUUUUUGUAGAAGCAAGCUUGGUCAGCUCUGCAACAGCCUCCUUUCUUUCUGACCACUUGGCAGCUUUCACUCCAUCCCAAAAUCCAGAUUUCUCCAAAGGAGUCAAAAUAUCUACAGGAUCGACAAGCUCAUACUCAUCUAUUUCCUGAGGAGCAUCAGCUACAGCUUCUUCUGAAUGGCCAAUACCCACGACUUCAGAUACAGCUUCUGGCUCCGGCUCCUUGUCUUGCUCAGAUCUGAUCUUACGAGAUGGCUUAGCAGCCCCCACAACAUUAACAAGCUCAGCCUCCAGCUCUUUUUUCAUUGUAUCCCUCAUCUUCUCAAACAAUAAUGAUUUCACUGGGUCUUUCCCAAUCCAACGACAAAGCUCUAGUGUUAGUCCUUUAGAGGAUGCACGAACAUUCUGAUCCUGAUGGUCAAACAGUUCUGGAAGCAUCUUCAGAAUCCUCUUUGGAGGAACAACUUUCGCUCCAAAUUCACUCAACGCUUGAAACAUAACAUCAAUUGC